GUGAACACGGGGUGGAGAUGGGGUGACGCAGCCACAAGCCAAGGCACAGCAAGGGUUGUCAGUGGCCACCAGAAGCUGGCGAGCGUGAAGUGGGCCCUCCCUCCGGCCUCAGAGGGAAACAGGCCUGCACACACCUGGUCCUGGACCUCCCGCUGCUUGUUUACACCCUCAGUGGCGGCGAUUUGUUAUGGAAGCCCCAAGAAACAAUGACACCCCUACGGUGACCCUCACCCACCCCCCAUGUGACCCCAGAGAGGGUCAGGGCCAUCUGCAGCUCACCCAGAACCUCCCAGGGCCGCCUUCUCAGCAAGCACACAGGCCAGUACCCUCCGAGGCAUCCUGUAAAUGAGGUCACCUGCAGAAACCUCCAGGGAGAAAGGUGCCUGCAGGUAUUGCUCUGGAGGCGGCUGUAACCGGUGGAUGCUUCCCGAAGUGUAGUCACCGCGCGGCUCCGGGAAGCCCCGAGCUUCCCCCUGCGAGCAGCCGUAGAGGGCCGGGGCCUGGCCGCCGAGGGGGCAGCUCCGCGGGCUCCAUGCCCCCCCCCCCGCCUGCCGCCCCGCGGCUUCCCCGGACCUGCACGUCUCCGUAGGCCCCUGGGGAGCGCGGCAACCUCCCCUGCAGGUGCUCUGCUGAUCCGGGUGUCACCCGUCCCCGCUGCGAGGUCCACAUCUGUCCUCCGUCCUUGACCAGGUGAUUUACGCCGUUCCUGCGGCUCUGGUUUCCGUGAGGUCCCCUCACUUGGCUUACAGUUAUGGGGCACCCCUUGCCCCAUGGGUCUUCGAGAGCAGGAGGGAGUGAGCCCCCUGACCGCCCAUGCCAACCUCUGGUGAG
Molecule: long non-coding RNA, 831 nt
Organism: Nyctereutes procyonoides (raccoon dog)
Lineage: Eukaryota; Metazoa; Chordata; Mammalia; Carnivora; Canidae
Exons: 3
Source: RefSeq, a predicted model, not a curated record